GGAGGUAGUGACAAUAAAUCUCAAUACGAAGCCUUUGGUUUUGUAAUUGAAUUGAGAACAAUGUACAAUCGUUAUCGAUAAACAAUUGGAGGGCAAGUCUGGUGCCAGCAGCCGCGGUAAUUCCAGCUCCAAUAGCGUAUAUUAACGUUGUUGCAGUUAAAAAGCUCGUAGUUGAAGUUUAGAUAAUUUAUUGAAAGUGUUUGUAUUCGUACAUUCUACUUUUAUGUAAGUUAUCGACAUCCAGGUGGGUGCCAUGGUUCCGCAAGGAAUCGUGGUACUAGACUGGUCAUUUACUGUGAGAAAAUUAGAGUGUUUAAAGCAGACUUUCUAAAUAGUUUGAAUAGAUUAGCAUGGAAUAAUAAGAUUGGCUUUCAUAGUCGAUUUUUUGGUUUGUUUAUGAAAGCAAGAUUAAUAGGGACAGUUGGGGGUAUUCAUAUUCAAUAGCUAGAGGUGAAAUUCUAUGAUUUAUGGAAGAUGAACAAGUGCGAAAGCAA
This 494-nucleotide ribosomal RNA is filed under the name Blastocystis sp. RNAcentral describes it as "SSU rRNA". It matches the Rfam family "Eukaryotic small subunit ribosomal RNA", at positions 460 to 954 of the family's 1831-position model. The record is from RNAcentral. Lineage: Eukaryota; Bigyra; Opalinata; Blastocystidae.